Molecule: long non-coding RNA, 381 nt
Organism: Cygnus olor (mute swan)
Lineage: Eukaryota; Metazoa; Chordata; Aves; Anseriformes; Anatidae
Exons: 3
Source: RefSeq, a predicted model, not a curated record
GGCACCUCAAGUAUCACAAAAAGGCUAGGAACCUUGCAUCCAGAGCUGAAUAUGGGCUGUUUGGUUUUCUCGCAUGAAUGAAUUUGCUUUCAGCUGAGAAUUUACUUUUAACAAAUAAGCUGUUUUACAGGAUGCAAAGGUGGAAGGGGUGGAGUGUCUUAUGACUUACUACACUGUGGGUGCAGCCACUGACAUGAUUUCUGGAUCCUCAUGUAUCUGCCUUGCUUGUUUGGACAAGAAAGAAAGCCUACUUAUAGAUUAAGCAACUAUUAGGAAACUCUGUCUCCAGAUGUCUCCAUCACUUGAAGAAGCACUGCAAGCUGUAUUCUGUGUGAAGGAGACUUCCUUCUCUGUAACUCUCUUCUAAGGGCAAGGAGGAAG